GCUGGGCGUGGUGGCUCACGCCUGUAAUCCCAGCACUUUGGGAGGCCGAGGUGGGUGGAUCACUUGAGGUCAGGAGUUCAAGACCAGCCUGACCAACAUGGCGAAAACCCGUCUCUA
Molecule: unclassified non-coding RNA, 117 nt
Organism: Macaca fascicularis (crab-eating macaque)
Lineage: Eukaryota; Metazoa; Chordata; Mammalia; Primates; Cercopithecidae
Rfam family: Metazoan signal recognition particle RNA
About the family: The signal recognition particle (SRP) is a universally conserved ribonucleoprotein. It is involved in the co-translational targeting of proteins to membranes.
Source: Ensembl